UUUAAAUAUGAUGGGAGAGCAAAUCCGCCGAAUUUAAGCAUAUAAUUAAGCGGAAGAAAAGAAAAUAACUAUGAUUCCCUAAGUAACGGCGAGUGAACAGGGAAAAGCUCAAAAAGGAAAAUCCUAUUCAUGCGCAAGUCAUGUUAAGGAAUUGUCUGGUUGGAUUUCAUCCUUUUCUAUAAUUUAUGUUAGGUUGCGAAAUGAGUAGGAAUACUAUUCCAUAGAGGGUGAAAGACCCGUAGCUCUUUGCAUUCUAUAGAAAUGGUGAUUUCUGCAGAGUAGUGUUCUUUGAGAUUGGAGCACAAAUAUGUGUGAUAGAUUUCACAUAAAGCUAAAUAUUUGUAGGAGACCGAUAGUAAACAAGUACCGUGAGGGAAAGAUGAAAUAGUACUCAGGAAUGAGAUUUAAAUAGUACCUGAAAUCGUUAAGAUGGAACGGAUUGAGAGAGAAAUAACGUAAGAUGGGGUAUUUCCCUGCUCUUUAGAGCACGUUUUAAUUCCUAUCUUAUUAAAAGAAGCAUCAGUGAAUUGUUGAAUAAUUAAAAUAUAGUUAAGUAUUCUUUACAAAUAUAAUAUAAUAUGUACGUAAAGAUUUCGUAUCACUUCCGCUAAAUUGGUUGGAUAACGAGCUAUUAUUGAUUGUUACGUUUACUGAGGUUAAUAAAAUCUUUAGGGCCUUCGCCCCUAUUGAUUUAAGUUGCUUCUAAAAAGCACUUUCUCAACCCACUCGUCUUGAAACACGGACCAAGGAGUCUAACAAAUGUGCGAGCGUAUAUAUGUUUUUAACUAUAACGAAAUAAAUCUAAACUUUAUGUUCGAUAAUACGCAUAAUUAAUGUAAUUAAUUGGUAGAAUUUUUAGGGGAAACCCUAUUUUGCAUACCAUGCCGGUUGGCAAUUAUGCUAAAUUGAGUAAAAGUAUAUUUGUUAGGACCCGAGAGGCUUUGAACUAAGCGUGGUGAGAUUGAAGUCAGACGAAAGUCUGAUGGAGGAUCGAAUUGAUACUGACGUGCAAAUCGUUCAUUUCAAUCACGUUUAGGGGCGAAAGACUAAUCGAAAAGCCUAUUAGCUGGUUAUUUUCGAAAGAUCUCUCAGGAUCGCUGGAGUUGAUUAAUAUAGUUUUACGAGGUAGAGAUAAUGAUUAGAGGACUCAGGGAAACCAUUUCCUUGACCUAUUCUCAAACUCCCAAUGCGUAAUAAGGGAAUAAUAUCUUCAACUGUAUUUUUUCCACUUUAUAAAUAAAAUAACUCCAAGUGGGCCAUUUUUGGUAAGCAGAACUGGCGAUGAGGGAUGCUCCUAACGCUUGGAUAAGGUGCCUAAAUAUUCGCUCAUUAGAUCCCAUAANAGGUGUUGGUUCAUAAUGACAGUAGGACGGUGGUCAUGGAAGUCGAAA
Molecule: non-coding RNA, 1391 nt
Organism: Plasmodium chabaudi chabaudi
Lineage: Eukaryota; Apicomplexa; Aconoidasida; Haemosporida; Plasmodiidae
Source: Rfam